CCGAGUUUACAACUCCCAAACCCAAUGUGAACGUUACCAAACUGUUGCCUCGGCGGGGUCACGCCCCGGGUGCGUCGCAGCCCCGGAACCAGGCGCCCGCCGGAGGAACCAACCAAACUCUUUCUGUAGUCCCCUCGCGGACGUAUUUCUUACAGCUCUGAGCAAAAAUUCAAAAUGAAUCAAAACUUUCAACAACGGAUCUCUUGGUUCUGGCAUCGAUGAAGAACGCAGCGAAAUGCGAUAAGUAAUGUGAAUUGCAGAAUUCAGUGAAUCAUCGAAUCUUUGAACGCACAUUGCGCCCGCCAGUAUUCUGGCGGGCAUGCCUGUCCGAGCGUCAUUUCAACCCUCGAACCCCUCCGGGGGAUCGGCGUUGGGGAUCGGGACCCCUCACACGGGUGCCGGCCCCGAAAUACAGUGGCGGUCUCGCCGCAGCCUCUCCUGCGCAGUAGUUUGCACAACUCGCACCGGGAGCGCGGCGCGUCCACGUCCGUAAAACACCCAACUUUCUGAAAUGUUGACCUCGGAUCAGGUAGGAAUACCCGCUGAACUUAAGCAUAUAA
RNAcentral lists this ribosomal RNA (560 nucleotides) under Trichoderma asperellum. RNAcentral's name for it is "eukaryotic LSU rRNA". The stretch from base 184 to 337 matches the Rfam family "5.8S ribosomal RNA". Lineage: Eukaryota; Fungi; Ascomycota; Sordariomycetes; Hypocreales; Hypocreaceae. The record is from RNAcentral.